Molecule: RNA transcript, 4137 nt
Organism: Triticum aestivum (bread wheat)
Lineage: Eukaryota; Viridiplantae; Streptophyta; Magnoliopsida; Poales; Poaceae
Exons: 5
Source: RefSeq, a predicted model, not a curated record
CUCCACUCGCACGCACGACUCUCCUGCCCUCCACUCGCACCCGACUCACUGCCCUCGUUCGCGGCCGCCCUCCAUCCCUUCGCCGCCGCCAAGACCCCGCCGGAUCUCACCGCCGCCGAUCUCCUCGAGAAGACCCUGUCGGAUCUCACCGUCGCCGAUCUCCUCGAGAAGACCCUGCCGGAUCUCACCGCCGUCGAUCUCCUCGCGAAGAUCAGGCCGAAUCUCGCUGCCGCCGUAACUCCAUAAAGCCGCCGCCGCCGAUCCCCUCCAGAAAACCCGUCGAUCCCCUCCGGAAGACCCCGCCGGAUCUUGCGUCGGGGCCACGGUUCUGGAUCGCCGUCGCAGGGCGGUUCCAACCAGAGCCGGCGGCCUUGAGGAGAGGAGCUCGACGAGCGGGCAGGGUGACCCCGUGCCUUGGAGACGGCGACCCUCAACCCCUUGCUGCUGUGGUGCACUGGGCACAUCUGUGACGAGGAGGAGGCGAGCCACAAUUCAUCACCUUCCUCGUCUCUCUCAUGGCUGUGCACAAGGAUGUCUGCACCCCGAGCCGAGCUCUGUUUGACCGGAGGACAAGCAGAGGAAAGGCGAACAGGGGUGAUGACGUGGCUCCUGAGCAAGGUGAACAUCGCCUUUAAGGCGAGCGGUGGCGGCACCUUAUCUUGGGCCCCUACAAUAAGUAAACUCAACAUGCGUGAUUCUGAUUAGAGGCAACCGGAUCGUUAUUGAACAUACUGAUGAUUCCUGUUGUGUAUUCUCAAGGAAUGGUCAGGUUUAGUACUGUAACUAUUUUCUUAUCAAAUAUAUUUGGGUGGUGCUCAAAAUGCAGAGCUGAAAAGCAAGAAACGUAAAGCCACCUCUGAAGAUAAGUUCACCAUGCCUCCCAGAGUGUCACCCCGCUUCGUUGAACUUAAUGGAAUAAGAUCAGAUCAGAAUAACCUUUGUAAACUAGGCAACUGAAUCAUUUCAUUGUUGCUUGUCCAUGUAACUAAGAACUAUCAUUUGGGUACCAAGUUCCACUUCAGGCCAGGAAAAAUUCUUAUAACUUCAAAACGGCAACGGAUGCACCAUUGUCUUCAGGUCUGGUAUGUAUAUUUAAUCAAUCAAAACAAAAGUUUUUGAUAAUAAUCAAGAAUGAUGAAAUUUUGGACUUUAGACUAUAUCAGUGACAAUUUUCAUGAUAAAUUACAGAAAGUUUGUAUCUAGGGGAUAUCUUCAUGUCGACUUACGUUUAAUAUUAGGAUAUGUCCCCUCAUGUGCCAGUUUUGAGAUAUCUUAGAAGUUCACGAUCUGGUUUUAGUUCCUGCAUCUUUUUCCACUUUCUGUAGAGAUUUGAGUAAAACUUAAAUGUCUAGAUGCAUAUAAGCUUGUGAGUUAAUUAAUGCUAACUUGAUGGUCCAAACUAAAUUCUGCAAAUAUGACCAUGACAGAAAGAUAAAUGGAGGUUUAGAGGCAGAGUGGAUGCCUGCACCAACUUUAUAGGUUGAACUACGUUUUGCUAGAUGACUCAAAUUUCAGAACACGAGCAUUAUUUUUUGGGAAUGCAGUUAACAACAGAAUCAAGUCAAGAUGAAAAAUGGGGAACUGUUCAAUAUUGAGUUUAAUUCCUUUCUUGCAGAGCACCAGAGAUGAGUGAGGAGAUUAUCAAAUAUUGAAUAUAAUUCCUUUCUUGUAUCCAUGGUCGAUCUAUUGUACUCUGUCGUUUUCCAUAGUGAGAACGAGACUGCUCUAUCGCUUGCUUAUUUAAGAUCAUGGUAAUCAUUUUUGCUAGCCUAUGUGUAUUCUAAUUUUCUCCCCUUACUGUUGCAGCCUUGCAGGUUGGAGUGCAGCUGUCAGAUAUCUUUCUUUCCUUGGGAUAGUUGGAAUGGAAUACUAUGACUAGAUAUACAAUGGUAUUGUUAUCAGUGUUCGGCCUUCAAUGAUUUCGGUGCAGCAUGUCUAGACCAUCAACGGUAAUUUGAGCUCCUUAGUGAAGUAGGUUUGUAAGGCGUUGCUUCAACUCAAGAAAAUCAAUGGCCACAAUUGGGAAGUUGACUGACAAUCCAAAGAGAGUGCCAAUUUUCAAUCUCGUGUUUAGGUGCUUACAUCAAUCUCGUGCAUAGUCUCGAUCACCACCACCGGGGCAGCUACUUCUACUGGCAGGGGCUGGGCGCCGCCGUGAGGAUGCUAUCACCCAUGCACGCAGUGAUGGCAUGGUGGCCGAAGAAGGCCGUCUUCUGGGGAGCCGCGCGCUGGCCGCCAUAUCCACCCGCGGCCACACCAACAAGACAGUAAUAUGCAGAGAAGGUUCACCUGACAUAAUGACCAACAAGAGCAAGUUGUUUUUUCUUGAUGAAAAUGAUAGCUACCACUUGAUGAGAUUUAUCAAUACAAGCAUUUCCUCUAAUUUUAUCUGUAGGUAAUCCUUUAAGCUCCAAGGAAAUAGCUGAAUGUCACUACCAAAUUAAAUUACCUUUGUACAGAAAAUACGUGGAGUUAUGUGAUCUGCAAGUGAGCAGCUCUCUCACCAACGAGUUAAUAACAUUAAAAUAGGUAGCAGUACCAAUUUUUCCCAGUAAAAGUGAUUUUUUGUUUUCUUCAUUCAAUUAACCAUCGUUUUGAUCGAUGAUGCAUAAUAGAAAUAUGCAUUCCUUUACUGUUUUUUCUCCAUACGAUCCUUUUAUCACUCAUUAAAAUUUUGCAAGUUCUUGCCAUACCCGAAGCUUCCAUUAUCGCUGACUUCGCCGGAAUGCCUGCACCCAUGUUCCAGGUGCCAAUAAUGAAUCCUGUGUUUAGGUGCUUCUACAUGAAUCCCGUGCAUAGUAUCGAUCAACACCACUGGGGCAGCUACUUCUGCUGGCAGUAGCACUUUCCUCUGACAUGUGAUUUUUUGUCAUUGUGUGCUUCUACAUUAAUCCUGGGUCGUUAUAUUUAGGUUCUCUAAGGCCUAAACUGUGACUUUUCUUAAUUGUAUGUGUUACAACUUGUUUUACUAUACUAAUUUAUUCAGUUGCACCAAUACAAGGUGUGGAGAGUUUGGGUUCGGAAGGUAGUUAGCCUACAAGAGAAGGGGGUUUAGUAUUUUCUUGAUGGCACAUGUUGGAAGGUGCCAUGUUUAUUUCUCUUAUCUUAUGGGUUUCCUCACAAUUGUUUUCUUACAAUGUGCACAAUUUUGCAACAAUAAACAUUGGCUGGGGAUAUACACUUGAAUAGAUGAUCUGGUUACAUAGCAUGCACCCCGAGGAGUUUCAGGAAUUAUGAUGUGUUGGUUUUAUUUGGUUGAAACCAUUAAUGGUUGUCUGAGUUACUUGACUAGGACUGUUUGGGCAUGAAGUGUGUGCUCUAUAACUCCUUCCUAUUGGAUAUUUUUGCUCUCCUUAUUGCACAUGUUCCUGAGAAAAGUGAAGUACUUAUGUCGAUAAGAUGUUGAUUCUCAAAACUCUUAACAUCUUAUAGUGUAUCGGUAGUGUUAAAACAAAAAUAGCGAUUACUUUUCUCGUGUUAUCGUCUAUUGUGUUUCUUCUGUCCUUGAUUCCAAAGGAACUGUAGUAAUUACUUUGCCUAAAGUUUGUGUUAUUUCCAUUUACGAUGUGUUCAACUCAAUUGUGUUACUAAAAUACUUUUAUCGGCGGAUAUUUAUCAAGAAGUAACAUGUCACCACUUUGAAUACAACCUUAGUUUUACAGGCAUUAGUUUUCUAAUUAAAUGUUGUCGUUGUAAGCAUCAAAACUAUCUUCUAGAUUCACAACUUAUGCUUAUGCCUCCGUUUAAAAAAAUAGCUUCUACAGUCACAGCCUUGCUGGGAGCCAGGGUGAGAAACUAAAUGUCAACAUGGUUGUGCAGGUCUGCAGGAGGUGCCUUUGAGAACUUGAUCAGCUACUCGAGCUUCAUUGUCAGCGAAGUCUCCACUGGGUUGCCCAGAUCUGUCUUGAAUUGCUUCAUUGAUGACAAUUUGGAGAAGGCUCCGCUGACACUUACAAAGGAUGUUUUCCUUUGUUGGAAAGACGAGGAUACGCUGGAGAUAGACAUGGGGUGGUAAGAAAAUGAUGAGUUCCUGAUGAUAUUAUGCUUGCUGGUCUAAACCUACAUGUAUUAUGUUAGUUUGUUGUUAAGAGUAUCUUGAAAAUAUAAAGCCACUGGGUGGCCAGGCAUUCUAUACUA